Molecule: ribosomal RNA, 546 nt
Filed under: uncultured eukaryote
Lineage: Eukaryota
Description: SSU rRNA
Rfam family: Eukaryotic small subunit ribosomal RNA
Source: RNAcentral
GUAUAUUAAAGUUGUUGCAGUUAAAAAGCUCGUAGUUGGAGUUCAGAGUGAGCUCAGCCGGUCGGCCUAAUGGGUCAGAACUGGUUAACUCUCUCUUGUUUGUGGAUCCCUUCGGAGUUAACUCUUCGGAUGUGGAGUCCACAUCGUUUACCUUGAAAAAAUUAGAGUGUUCAAAGCAGGCGUUUGCUUGAAUAUAUUAGCAUGGAAUAAUGGAAUAGGACGCUGGUUCUAUUUUGUUGGUUUUGAGAACCAGAGUAAUGAUUAAUAGGGACAGUUGGGGGCAUUCAUAUUUCAUUGUCAGAGGUGAAAUUCUUGGAUUUAUGAAAGAUGAACUUCUGCGAAAGCAUUUGCCAAGGAUGUUUUCAUUAAUCAAGAACGAAAGUUAGGGGAUCGAAGACGAUCAGAUACCGUCGUAGUCUUAACCAUAAACUAUGCCGACUAGGGAUUGGGUGUGGUUUGUUCAUUGACCCACUCAGCACCUUACGAGAAAUCAAAGUCUUUGGGUUCCGGGGGGAGUAUGGUCGCAAGGCUGAAACUUAAAGGAAU